UGGUCCAAGACUGUGAUCUGUGUGUGUUG
This 29-nucleotide non-coding RNA is filed under the name Mus musculus (house mouse). Lineage: Eukaryota; Metazoa; Chordata; Mammalia; Rodentia; Muridae. The record is from RNAcentral.